UUCCGGUUGAUCCUGCCAGAGGUUACUGCUAUCGAGGUUCGACUAAGCCAUGCGAGUCGAAUGUAGCAAUACAUGGCGUACUGCUCAGUAACACGUGGACAACCUGCCCUUAGGACGGGUAUAAACCCGGGAAACUGGGUAUAAUUCCCGAUAGGUCUCGUCUGCUGGAAUGCAUCGAGAUCCAAAGCUCCGGCGCCUAAGGAUGGGUCUGCGGCCUAUCAGGUAGUAGUGGGUGUAGCGUACCUACUAGCCUACGACGGGUACGGGUUGUGAGAGCAAGAGCCCGGAGAUGGAUUCUGAGACACGAAUCCAGGCCCUACGGGGUGCAGCAGGCGCGAAAACUUUACAAUGCUGGGAACAGCGAUAAGGGAACCUCGAGUGCCAGGUUACAAAUCUGGCUGUCGUGAUGCCUAAAAAGCAUUAUAUAGCAAGGGCCGGGCAAGACCGGUGCCAGCCGCCGCGGUAACACCGGCGGCUCGAGUGGUAACCGUUAUUAUUGGGUCUAAAGGGUCUGUAGCCGGCCGGAUAAGUCUCUUGGGAAAUCUGGCAGCUCAACUGUCAGGCUUUCGGGGGAUACUGUCUGGCUCGAGGCCGGGAGAGGUGAGAGGUACUUCAGGGGUAGGGGUGAAAUCUUGUAAUCCUUGAAGGACCACCAGUGGCGAAGGCGUCUCACCAGAACGGACCUGACGGCAAGGGACGAAAGCUAGGGGCACGAACCGGAUUAGAUACCCGGGUAGUCCUAGCCGUAAACGAUACUCGCUAGGUGUCGGCCACGGUGCGACCGUUGUCGGUGCCGUAGGGAAGCCGUGAAGCGAGCCACCUGGGAAGUACGGCCGCAAGGCUGAAACUGAAAGGAAUUGGCGGGA
Molecule: ribosomal RNA, 866 nt
Filed under: uncultured archaeon
Lineage: Archaea
Description: bacterial SSU rRNA
Rfam family: Archaeal small subunit ribosomal RNA
Source: RNAcentral